This is a long non-coding RNA of Schistocerca piceifrons (Central American locust), 223 nucleotides long. RefSeq lists it as uncharacterized. The record is from RefSeq and is a predicted model, not a curated record. The transcript is spliced from 2 exons. NCBI's taxonomy places the organism in Eukaryota, Metazoa, Arthropoda, Insecta, Orthoptera, Acrididae.
GGUCGCGCGCGAAAGUGUACGGACGUGUACCGAGAAUUCAGAAUUACAGAGUUGGAGGGGCACGAUAUAAUGAAAUCAAUUGCCUAUCAAUGUAUGUGUCAAGGUCUCACUGCAAUAUUGUGAAGAAAGACAAAGGAUUAUACAUAAUAGAUGGUGGGGUAAGUUAUGUAAUGUAGAGACUCGAAGUUAAAAUAAACUGAUUACUUCCUUGUAAACAUUUGAG